This 239-nucleotide ribosomal RNA is filed under the name uncultured bacterium. RNAcentral describes it as "partial 16S ribosomal RNA". It matches the Rfam family "Bacterial small subunit ribosomal RNA", at positions 84 to 339 of the family's 1533-position model. The record is from RNAcentral.
AGCAAUACCUAGUGGCGGACGGGUGAGUAACGCGUGGGAAUCUGCCCAAGGGUGGGGGAUAGCAGACCGAAAGGUCUAUUAAUACCGCAUAUGCCGUGAGGUAAAAGGAGUAAUCCGCCCCUGGAUGAGCCUGCGUCCGAUUAGCUAGUUGGUAGGGUAAAAGCCUACCAAGGCUACGAUCGGUAGCUGGUCUGAGAGGAUGAUCAGCCACAAUGGGACUGAGACACGGUCCAUACUCC